CCGGCGGUUGUCGCUGCAGACGUGGGCAAAAGAGGGAACGACGACUCAGCGAGCGCACUUGGCAGAGCAGGGAGGAGGGGAAGGGAUUUUGGAAACACCCCGCGUCUCCCUUCUCGAAUUUCUCUCGGUUCUUGUCAGUUGAUUCGUAGCCUAAAGGUGUGAAGAAAGUGAGGCCGUAAGGAGUGAGAGGCUGGUAAGGUUUGAAUCUUUGUGAUAGAACAGCUGAAGCAAGUAGUUUACAUGAUAAAAG
Molecule: long non-coding RNA, 250 nt
Filed under: Bos mutus (wild yak)
Lineage: Eukaryota; Metazoa; Chordata; Mammalia; Artiodactyla; Bovidae
Description: lncRNA (ENSBMUG00000023841.1)
Source: RNAcentral